RNAcentral lists this ribosomal RNA (497 nucleotides) under uncultured bacterium. RNAcentral describes it as "partial 16S ribosomal RNA". It matches the Rfam family "Bacterial small subunit ribosomal RNA", at positions 28 to 507 of the family's 1533-position model. The record is from RNAcentral.
GAUGAACGCUGGCGGCGUGCCUAAUACAUGCCAGUCGAGCGAACGGACGAGAAGCUUGCUUCUCUGAUGUUAGCGGCGGACGGGUGAGUAACACGUGGAUAACCUACCUAUAAGACUGGGAUAACUUCGGGAAACCGGAGCUAAUACCGGAUAAUAUUUUGAACCGCAUGGUUCAAAAGUGAAAGACGGUCUUGCUGUCACUUAUAGAUGGAUCCGCGCUGCAUUAGCUAGUUGGUAAGGUAACGGCUUACCAAGGCAACGAUGCAUAGCCGACCUGAGAGGGUGAUCAGCCACACUGGAACUGAGACACGGUCCAGACUCCUACGGGAGGCAGCAGUAGGGAAUCUUGCGCAAUGGGCGAAAGCCUGACGGAGCAACGCCGCGUGAGUGAUGAAGGUCUUCGGAUCGUAAAACUCUGUUAUUAGGGAAGAACAUAUGUGUGAGUAACUGUGCACGUCUUGACGGUACCUAAUCAGAAAGCCACGGCUAACUACGUG